This 70-nucleotide transfer RNA is filed under the name Heliconius melpomene (postman butterfly). RNAcentral describes it as "tRNA HMEL010530". Lineage: Eukaryota; Metazoa; Arthropoda; Insecta; Lepidoptera; Nymphalidae. The record is from RNAcentral.
UGACGUAGGCUCAGUGGUCAGAGCGCUUGGAUGGUUUCUAAGAGGCGCGGUUCGAGCCCCGCUACAUUCA